RNAcentral lists this small RNA (1911 nucleotides) under Pongo abelii (Sumatran orangutan). RNAcentral's name for it is "processed transcript". Lineage: Eukaryota; Metazoa; Chordata; Mammalia; Primates; Hominidae. The record is from RNAcentral.
CGAGCGGGCGAGCGGGAGCCGGAGCCCCGCGCCCUCCGCUCCACUCCGAUUCUCUCCGCGCCAGAGCCAGGCGCGCCAGCCCCCUUUCGCCCAGCUGACACCCACAAUGAGGUCCGCUUUGACCGCUUUGGUGAUGGUAUUGGCCGCUACAACAUCUUCACCUAUCUGCGUGCAGGCAGUGGGCGCUAUCGCUACCAGAAGGUGGGCUACUGGGCAGAAGGCUUGACUCUGGACACCAGCCUCAUCCCAUGGGCCUCACCCUCAGCCGGCCCCCUGCCUGCCUCUCGCUGCAGUGAGCCCUGCCUCCAGAAUGAGGUGAAGAGUGUGCAGCCGGGCGAGGUUUGCUGCUGGCUCUGCAUCCCGUGCCAGCCCUAUGAGUACCGAUUGGACGAAUUCACUUGCGCUGAUUGUGGUCUGGGCUACUGGCCCAAUGCCAGCCUGACUGGCUGCUUCGAACUGCCCCAGGAGUACAUCCGCUGGGGCGAUGCCUGGGCUGUGGGACCUGUCACCAUCGCCUGCCUGGGUGCCCUGGCCACCCUCUUUGUGCUGGGUGUCUUUGUGCGGCACAAUGCCACACCAGUGGUCAAGGCCUCGGGUCGGGAGCUCUGCUACAUCCUGCUGGGUGGUGUCUUCCUCUGCUACUGCAUGACCUUCAUCUUCAUUGCCAAGCCAUCCACAGCAGUGUGUACCUUACGGCGUCUUGGUUUGGGCACUGCCUUCUCUGUCUGCUACUCAGCCCUGCUCACCAAGACCAACCGCAUUGCACGCAUCUUCGGUGGGGCCCGGGAGGGUGCCCAGCGGCCACGCUUCAUCAGUCCUGCCUCACAGGUGGCCAUCUGCCUGGCGCUUAUCUCAGGCCAGCUGCUCAUCGUGGUUGCCUGGCUGGUGGUGGAGGCACCGGGCACAGGCAAGGAGACAGCCCCCGAACGGCGGGAGGUGGUGACACUGCGCUGCAACCACCGCGAUGCAAGUAUGUUGGGCUCGCUGGCCUACAAUGUGCUGCUCAUCGCGCUCUGCACACUUUAUGCCUUCAAGACUCGCAAGUGCCCCGAAAACUUCAACGAGGCCAAGUUCAUUGGCUUCACCAUGUACACCACCUGCAUCAUCUGGCUGGCAUUCCUGCCCAUCUUCUAUGUCACCUCCAGUGACUACCGGGUACAGACCACCACCAUGUGCGUGUCAGUCAGCCUCAGCGGCUCUGUGGUGCUUGGCUGCCUCUUUGCGCCCAAGCUGCACAUCAUCCUCUUCCAGCCGCAGAAGAACGUGGUUAGCCACCGGGCGCCCACCAGCCGCUUUGGCAGUGCUGCUGCCAGGGCCAGCUCCAGCCUUGGCCAAGGGUCUGGCUCCCAGUUUGUCCCCACUGUUUGCAAUGGCCGUGAGGUGGUGGACUCGACAACGUCAUCACUUUGAAGACCCCAUACUCCCGCCCUGACACAGCUGCUCCUGGGAACCUAGUGCAGACCCGCGUCCAGGGCCAGGAGGACGUUGGCUGGAGCACUGCAAUAAUUUAUUACCCACCCUAUGUCUGCCCCCAAAGUCACUUACCCACCUCCUUACCCCAACUCUUCAGACUCAGAAGUCGGGAGCCUUGGCCGGGAGCCUCUGCAGUGGCCACUAACUGCCCUUGUAGCUGUGUUUCCUCCUGGUCAGGCCCAGGGCUCAGAGAGGAGCAAGCCAGGGUUCACUCUGCCCUGGACCGGGGUGGCUGAGGACGGCAGGCCCCAUUCCUAACCAGCAAAGGUGCUUCCAGCCCAGCUCCUCCCCCCAACUAGGGCCUUUUUUAUUUUUUAUAUAAGUUACUCUGGGAUGGGGAGGGUGGUUAUUGUGGGGGCUGCCCCUCCCCCUGCACAGUAGUUUGUCCUGUGGUUUAUUUUGUAUUACCUGUAAAUAAAGUGGCUUUAUUUUAAAAAA